This 253-nucleotide ribosomal RNA is filed under the name uncultured bacterium. RNAcentral's name for it is "partial 16S ribosomal RNA". It matches the Rfam family "Bacterial small subunit ribosomal RNA", at positions 524 to 776 of the family's 1533-position model. The record is from RNAcentral.
UACGUAGGGGGCAAGCGUUGUCCGGAAUUAUUGGGCGUAAAGAGCUCGUAGGCGGUUUGUCGCGUCUGCUGUGAAAUCCCUCGGCUUAACCGGGGAACUGCAUCUGAUACUGGAUGGCUUGAGAUUGGGAGAGGGAUGCGGAAUUCCAGGUGUAGCGGUGAAAUGCGUAGAUAUCUGGAGGAAUACCGGUGGCGAAGGCGGCAUCCUGGACCGACAUUGACGCUGAACGGCGAAAGCUAGGGGAGCAAACGGG